AAGGUAGCGUAAUCACUUGUCUUAUAAAUAAAGACCCGUAUGAAUGGUUAAAUGAAUAUUUAACUGUCUCCUUUAACUAAUCAGUGAAACUGAUCUUUCAGUACAAAAGCUGAAAUAUCAACAUAAGACGAGAAGACCCCGUGGAGCUUAAAAUUUUUAACAAAAUAUUAUAAAGCACAUAUUUUGCCAUAAAAUUUUUAGUUGGGGCGACUUUGGAGAAAAACUUAACCUCCAAGAUAAAGGCAUUGCCUACACCAAGGCCCACAAGCCAGACUACAGAGACCCAGUAUCAAAUACUGAUCAACGAACCAAGUUACCCCAGGGAUAACAGCGCCAUCUUCUUCAAGAGUUCAUAYCGACAAGAAGGUUUACGACCUCGAUGUUGGAUCAGGACACCCAAAUGGUNCAGCCGCUAU
This 416-nucleotide ribosomal RNA is filed under the name Anolis tropidonotus. RNAcentral describes it as "partial 16S ribosomal RNA". It matches the Rfam family "Bacterial large subunit ribosomal RNA", at positions 1953 to 2565 of the family's 2925-position model. Lineage: Eukaryota; Metazoa; Chordata; Lepidosauria; Squamata; Anolidae. The record is from RNAcentral.